RNAcentral lists this long non-coding RNA (359 nucleotides) under Callithrix jacchus (white-tufted-ear marmoset). RNAcentral's name for it is "lncRNA (ENSCJAG00000060648.2)". Lineage: Eukaryota; Metazoa; Chordata; Mammalia; Primates; Cebidae. The record is from RNAcentral.
UUUUCUCCCGCUCUUUCUCCAGGUUGCAGAAUAUUUUUGGAGGAACCACAUAGCUCGCUCUCAUCAGUCUAUGUUCUCGUGCUGCACGUGGUCCUUUGAUGCAACUUAGUGGAGCUUUUGCUCUGCUCUGGUUGCUGGCCCCUUCCUGUCCUCACUGUGCAAGAGAAGAAAAAACUGAUUUCUAGCUGACUUAGGGACAGGGAUUUAUUUCCCUCACCACCCAGCCAUCCCUUGAAUAUUGGCUCUAAUCCCAGAGAAGAAAAAAGAACUGAAGCUCUACAUUCAGACGCCAAGGGAAGCUGUGGGCAAGGUAGGGCUCUCCCCCAGCAGCCCCUCCUGCGUGCACUUUUGCCUUCCAC